Molecule: small RNA, 28 nt
Filed under: Bombyx mori (domestic silkworm)
Lineage: Eukaryota; Metazoa; Arthropoda; Insecta; Lepidoptera; Bombycidae
Description: ovarian small RNA-4988
Source: RNAcentral
CUUGCUGCUAAAAGAUGGUCAGAAAGAG